GGGCUCGUAGCGCAGUAUGGAUAAGAGAAAUCUCCAGAAAGCGCGGCAGCCUCCUAAGCUGUAGGUCGUGGGUUCGAAUCCCACCGAGCCCG
RNAcentral lists this transfer RNA (92 nucleotides) under Nitrososphaerales archaeon. RNAcentral describes it as "tRNA-Arg". It matches the Rfam family "tRNA". Rfam says of the family: Transfer RNA (tRNA) molecules are approximately 80 nucleotides in length. Their secondary structure includes four short double-helical elements and three loops (D, anti-codon, and T loops). Lineage: Archaea; Thermoproteati; Nitrososphaerota; Nitrososphaeria; Nitrososphaerales. The record is from RNAcentral.